RNAcentral lists this ribosomal RNA (444 nucleotides) under uncultured diatom. RNAcentral's name for it is "bacterial SSU rRNA". It matches the Rfam family "Bacterial small subunit ribosomal RNA", at positions 213 to 671 of the family's 1533-position model. The record is from RNAcentral. Lineage: Eukaryota; Bacillariophyta.
AUCUGCCUAGAGAGAAGCUCGCGGCUGAUUAGCUAGUUGGUAAGGUAAUGGCUUACCAAGGCGACGAUCAGUAGCUGGUUUGAGAGAACGAUCAGCCACACUGGAACUGAGACACGGUCCAGACUCCUACGGGAGGCAGCAGUGGGGAAUUUUCCGCAAUGGGCGAAAGCCUGACGGAGCAAUACCGCGUGAGGGAUGAAGGCCUUUGGGUUGUAAACCUCUUUUAUCAAGGAGGAAGUUCUGACGUGUACUUGAUGAAUAAGCAUCGGCUAACUCCGUGCCAGCAGCCGCGGUAAGACGGAGGAUGCAAGUGUUAUCCGGAAUCACUGGGCGUAAAGCGUCUGUAGGUGGUUUAAAAAGUCUGCUGUUAAAAAUUGAAGCUUAACUUCAAAGAUGCCGUAGAAACUUUUAAACUAGAGUAUGAUAGGGGUAGAGGGAAUUUCC